CAGGAUGAACGCUGGCGGCGUGCCUAAUACAUGCAAGUCGAACGCUUCACUUCGGUGAAGAGUGGCGAACGGGUGAGUAAUACAUAAGUAACCUGGCAUCUACAGGGGGAUAACUGAUGGAAACGUCAGCUAAGACCGCAUAGGUGUAGAGAUCGCAUGAACUCUAUAUGAAAAGUGCUACGGGACUGGUAGAUGAUGGACUUAUGGCGCAUUAGCUUGUUGGUAGGGUAACGGCCUACCAAGGCGACGAUGCGUAGCCGACCUGAGAGGGUGACCGGCCACACUGGGACUGAGACACGGCCCAGACUCCUACGGGAGGCAGCAGUAGGGAAUUUUCGGCAAUGGGGGAAACCCUGACCGAGCAACGCCGCGUGAAGGAAGAAGUAAUUCGUUAUGUAAACUUCUGUCAUAGAGGAAGAACGGUGGAUAUAGGGAAUGAUAUCCAAGUGACGGUACUCUAUAAGAAAGCCACGGCUAACUACGUGCCAGCAGCCGCGGUAAUACGUAGGUGGCGAGCGUUAUCCGGAAUUAUUGGGCGUAAAGAGGGAGCAGGCGGCACUAAGGGUCUGUGGUGAAAGAUCGAAGCUUAACUUCGGUAAGCCAUGGAAACCGUAGAGCUAGAGUGUGUGAGAGGAUCGUGGAAUUCCAUGUGUAGCGGUGAAAUGCGUAGAUAUAUGGAGGAACACCAGUGGCGAAGGCGACGAUCUGGCGCAUAACUGACGCUCAGUCCCGAAAGCGUGGGGAGCAAAUAGGAUUAGAUACCCUAGUAGUCCACGCCGUAAACGAUGAGUACUAAGUGUUGGGGGUCAAAGCUCAGUGCUGCAGUUAACGCAAUAAGUACUCCGCCUGAGUAGUACGUUCGCAAGAAUGAAACUCAAAGGAAUUGACGGGGG
This 893-nucleotide ribosomal RNA is filed under the name human gut metagenome. RNAcentral's name for it is "bacterial SSU rRNA". It matches the Rfam family "Bacterial small subunit ribosomal RNA", at positions 25 to 919 of the family's 1533-position model. The record is from RNAcentral.